GCCUAUAAUACCAAAGGUAGGUAUCGUUGAUAUUAUCUAUCCUACGAUGUUUGUUCGAUGUAUACAUUACACCAACAGAUUGUGAUAGUAAGUAUGUCAUAUUUCAAUUAUCCUCAUAUGAUUUUAGUAUCAUUCAUAAUGAUAUCACAAAAAUCAUCUUUUAUUAACAAUUUAAAAUCAAGUUUGACCAAAAAACCUAU
This 200-nucleotide long non-coding RNA is filed under the name Elaeis guineensis (African oil palm). Its description in RNAcentral is "long non-coding RNA (EGUI_LNC036976)". Lineage: Eukaryota; Viridiplantae; Streptophyta; Magnoliopsida; Arecales; Arecaceae. The record is from RNAcentral.